This 76-nucleotide transfer RNA is filed under the name Pseudomonadota bacterium. Its description in RNAcentral is "tRNA-Arg". It matches the Rfam family "tRNA". From Rfam's summary of the family: Transfer RNA (tRNA) molecules are approximately 80 nucleotides in length. Their secondary structure includes four short double-helical elements and three loops (D, anti-codon, and T loops). RNAcentral also lists the same sequence under 2 other names. Lineage: Bacteria; Pseudomonadati; Pseudomonadota. The record is from RNAcentral.
CUCCCCGUAGUUAAACAGGAUAUAACUACCGCCUCCUAAGCGGUGAUUCCAGGUUCGAGUCCUGGCGGGGAGGCCA